This 363-nucleotide ribosomal RNA is filed under the name uncultured bacterium. RNAcentral's name for it is "bacterial SSU rRNA". It matches the Rfam family "Bacterial small subunit ribosomal RNA", at positions 29 to 412 of the family's 1533-position model. The record is from RNAcentral.
AACGAACGCUGGCGGCAUGCCUAACACAUGCAAGUCGAACGGGAUCCGGGCUUCGGCCUGGUGAGAGUGGCGGACGGGUGAGUAACGCGUGGGAACCUGCCCAAUGGUCUGGGAUAACCGCGGGAAACUGCGGCUAAUACCGGAUAAGCCCGAGAGGGGAAAGAUUUAUCGCCGAUGGAGGGCCCGCGUCAGAUUAGGUAGUUGGUGGGGUAAUGGCCUACCAAGCCUACGAUCUGUAGCUGGCUGAGAGGAUGAUCAGCCACACUGGGACUGAGAUACGGCCCAGACUCCUACGGGAGGCAGCAGUGGGGAAUAUUGGACAAUGGGGCAACCCUGAUCCAGCAAUGCCGCGUGAGUGAUGAA